RNAcentral lists this transfer RNA (74 nucleotides) under Candidatus Moraniibacteriota bacterium. RNAcentral describes it as "Candidatus Moranbacteria bacterium (sediment metagenome) tRNA-Ile". It matches the Rfam family "tRNA". From Rfam's summary of the family: Transfer RNA (tRNA) molecules are approximately 80 nucleotides in length. Their secondary structure includes four short double-helical elements and three loops (D, anti-codon, and T loops). The record is from RNAcentral. Lineage: Bacteria; Candidatus Moraniibacteriota.
GGGCGACUAGCUCAGCUGGUUAGAGCACUUCACUGAUAAUGAAGAGGUCUCAGGUUCAAGUCCUGAGUCGCCCA